Molecule: ribosomal RNA, 500 nt
Filed under: uncultured bacterium
Lineage: Bacteria
Description: partial 16S ribosomal RNA
Rfam family: Bacterial small subunit ribosomal RNA
Source: RNAcentral
AUUGAACGCUGGCGGCAUGCCUUACACAUGCAAGUCGAACGGCAGCACGGGAGCAAUCCUGGUGGCGAGUGGCGAACGGGUGAGUAAAGUAUCGGAACGUGCCCAGUCGUGGGGGAUAACGUAGCGAAAGUUACGCUAAUACCGCAUACGAUCUAUGGAUGAAAGCGGGGGAUCGCAAGACCUCGCGCGAUUGGAGCGGCCGAUAUCAGAUUAGGUAGUUGGUGGGGUAAAGGCUCACCAAGCCGACGAUCUGUAGCUGGUCUGAGAGGACGACCAGCCACACUGGGACUGAGACACGGCCCAGACUCCUACGGGAGGCAGCAGUGGGGAAUUUCGGACAAUGGGCGCAAGCCUGAUCCAGCAAUGCCGCGUGCAGGAUGAAGGCCUUCGGGUUGUAAACUGCUUUUGUACGGAACGAAACGGCGAGCUCUAAUACAGUUUGCUAAUGACGGUACCGUAAGAAUAAGCACCGGCUAACUACGUGCCAGCCGCCGCGGUAA